This 189-nucleotide ribosomal RNA is filed under the name Leishmania braziliensis. RNAcentral's name for it is "partial 5.8S ribosomal RNA". The stretch from base 19 to 186 matches the Rfam family "5.8S ribosomal RNA". From Rfam's summary of the family: 5.8S ribosomal RNA (5.8S rRNA) is a component of the large subunit of the eukaryotic ribosome. It is transcribed by RNA polymerase I as part of the 45S precursor that also contains 18S and 28S rRNA. The record is from RNAcentral. Lineage: Eukaryota; Euglenozoa; Kinetoplastea; Trypanosomatida; Trypanosomatidae.
GGAGAGAGAGGGGGGGGCGGGCGGUGGCGAUGGAUGACUUGGCUUCCUAUUUCGUUGAAGAACGCAGUAAAGUGCGAUAAGUGGUAUCAAUUGCAGAAUCAUUCAAUUACCGAAUCUUUGAACGCAAACGGCGCAUGGGAGAAGCUCUAUUGUGUCAUCCCCGUGCAUGCCAUAUUCUCAGUGUCGAAC